Molecule: transfer RNA, 71 nt
Filed under: Chloroflexota bacterium
Lineage: Bacteria; Bacillati; Chloroflexota
Description: Chloroflexi bacterium tRNA-Ala
Rfam family: tRNA
About the family: Transfer RNA (tRNA) molecules are approximately 80 nucleotides in length. Their secondary structure includes four short double-helical elements and three loops (D, anti-codon, and T loops).
Source: RNAcentral
AGCUCAGUUGGGAGAGCGCGUGAAUCGCACUCACGAGGUCAGGGGUUCGAAUCCCCUCGGAUCCACAACCA